RNAcentral lists this long non-coding RNA (1557 nucleotides) under Mus musculus (house mouse). Its description in RNAcentral is "long non-coding RNA chr16:44745866-44747423". Lineage: Eukaryota; Metazoa; Chordata; Mammalia; Rodentia; Muridae. The record is from RNAcentral.
ACCGCACACGAGUGGCGCAUCCACACGGAGUGUUUUCUUUUGCUGUUACGAGCUCUCUCGCUGGGUGACAGGAAAUGAGCACAGGCCGACUCAGGCUCUCGCACCUACAGUAGACCCGGCGGUCAACCUCACCUCCGGCUGCUGCAAACUCGGGGCGUGGUCGAGGCGGACGGCGGAGCUGAGGUACUCGAUGCGGUUCCGGGCGGUGGCCUCAAAGAUGCUCUCCGCCCGCCCGAUGUCCUCCAGGCUCGGGUCGAAGAGUCUCUGUUCGAUAAGGCCAGGCCCCGAGUCCGCGGCGAGGUGCUGCCCCAGUUCCCGCAGCGGGUACACUACCUUCGUUAGCUGUUUCUGUGGCAGCCUUAGCACUUCUGCGAAGGCAGGGGACGUGCUGUAAACCCGGGUCCAAGGCCCCAGUGCUGGCGCUUUCUCAAGGAGCCUUCCCAUUCUAUGACUCAACCUAGCCGCUGCCAUUUUCCUCUCCCAGAAUCCUCGCGACUGGAUUUUAUUAGUAGGGUCUGGACAGCGCCAGACAGAAAGCUCGCUGCCGCAGCGCCUGCUGGGAAUUGUAGUUUUCUAGGGUCUCCUCACCUGCUCAAGCUUCUCACCACCUCCGGGCAGAAAGGGGGAAACCCCACUGACUUUCUUUAACACCUUGGCUUUACCAACUAUGUAUCAGAUUGGCGUGUUCUGGUCUUCAGCGGUUUCCAGAUGCGAAAAACUUACCUUGUCCUGUGAUCUUUGAGUCUCAAGGGAAGGAACCAUAGGGACAAACUAGUGGAUUCCAAGCCCGCUUUGCCUUCUGUUUCCGGUCGUUUUAUCGUCGAUUGACAUUUAUCAUAAGUUCACGUCACCGAGAAAAACACGUUUGCAAAAUUAAAUAAGCUGGUGAGAAAUGUGGUUGGAAUUGCAACUCGUUUUCAGAGAAGGGACGGUAUCUCUCUGACAGGCAGAGCGUUGGAGCAGCAGUUGAGAACUGACAAAGAUCCAUAAACCAGAAACAGAACUGGGAACAACUGGAGUCCUUUGAAGCCCCCAAAUACACACCCCCUUCCUCCAAUACAGUCAUACCUUCUAAUCCUACAAGGCCCCACUUUCCAACCCUUUCCAAACAGUUCCCUAAACUCGGGAGCAACUAUUCAAAUGGCUCAUGGGAGCCAUUCUCAUUUAAACCACCACAAGCAUUUAAUCAUUCCGUGCCCUGUCACUCCAUUAUUUUCUUUUUAAAGCAUCUGCAUAUAGCAGGCACAUAAACUUUAGAGUCAACAUAUGCUGUGUUUUCCAUGGACACUUGUAAUCAAACUCUUCCCUAGUCUCUACUGUAGGCAGAAGAUCAAAGAGCCAGAGCCAGGUUGACUCCAUGACAGGCUGUAAACUGGCAGUUUGGGAGUCUAGGCCUAUUUCUGUUUCCCAGAAAUGAGGACCCAGAUUCAGGAGCCCAUGGCCAUCCAACCACAGCUGCAGACAGCCAAUCCAAGGGUGCCUUACCACCUUGGAAAGUCCCCAGAGCCCUAACAAAUCACAAAGGACUCAUAUCCCUGGAGAUAGAGCCAACUAAUC